UAUGAGUGUACUGUUCCUGCAGCGUAGGCCAAGAUACCCAGACUUUUAGCCUCUGGAAGGGAUCUUCUACCUCCAUAAAACACCCAAUGGCAUUGGUGUCCACACCUGUUUGGUUUCCCUUGUGUUUCCUGUUUUAUUUUGUAAUCAAGUUUUACUUCCUGUCUUUCUUUGAUUCAUGUCUGGAUGCCUCUCCCCUCAUUGUUCUCACCUGUCUCUCGUUACGCCAUCAGCCCUUCAGAGAGUAUAUCUAACCCUGCCUUUCCUUUUGUCCUUGGUCAAGUCCUUCUGUUUGGUUCCGGUGGUGGAGGACCCAAAUGCAGGACACAGAGUUAGACAGAACUGGGGGGGGGUGAAUUACAGAUUAGGGAACAAAAGGCAGUGCAGGAAAGGAACGGCCUCAAAUAACACAACUCCAAAAACAGUUGAGAACCAAGAUGAGAACACAGGAACGUGGGGGAGCACGAGGGACCGGACGGCGAAACAAACGGGGAAUCAUCAGAGGAAUGAAAACAGCAUGACUUUGAUUUUGACUUCGUCUCUCGGGGCUUUUCCACUCCAGGAACUUAACAACCAAGAGUGAACUGAGAAGGAGGAGGGAUCUUUGGCACCGACGGCAAGAGUGGGUAGCAAAAAGGAAAGAAAAAGAGAGCUUACUUGGAGUAAUACCGUCAUUUUUUUUUGGAUCUGCUGCAGUGCUGUGAAACUGAAUAGAGUGUAUAUGCGUAAAAUAAUAAAUGAAUAACAGCGGCAUGAUUUAUGUAAAUCAUUGAUGCCUACCUUUGUCACUAUCUCGUCUUGUGAUAAAGCAUGAAUAUUUUACCUCACUGAAUGCCAUUUACUGGUAUAACUACAUGCUGUCACGGAAUUCUGGGUAGGAUUUUCCUCAUGUAUGGACUCAUAAGAUAAAAAUGCCUGUUAAUAAUUAA
Long non-coding RNA from Mugil cephalus (flathead mullet), 926 nucleotides. RefSeq lists it as uncharacterized. NCBI's taxonomy places the organism in Eukaryota, Metazoa, Chordata, Actinopteri, Mugiliformes, Mugilidae. The record is from RefSeq and is a predicted model, not a curated record. The transcript has 2 exons.